UACGUAGGGCGCAAGCGUUAUCCGGAAUUAUUGGGUGUAAAGAGCUCGUAGGCGGUUUGUCGCGUCUGCCGUGAAAGUCCGGGGCUCAACUCCGGAUCUGCGGUGGGUACGGGCAGACUAGAGUGUGGUAGGGGAGACUGGAAUUCCUGGUGUAGCGGUGAAAUGCGCAGAUAUCAGGAGGAACACCGGUGGCGAAGGCGGGUCUCUGGGCCGUAACUGACGCUGAGGAGCGAAAGCGUGGGGAGCGAACAGG
This 253-nucleotide ribosomal RNA is filed under the name uncultured bacterium. Its description in RNAcentral is "partial 16S ribosomal RNA". It matches the Rfam family "Bacterial small subunit ribosomal RNA", at positions 524 to 776 of the family's 1533-position model. The record is from RNAcentral.